Molecule: non-coding RNA, 588 nt
Organism: Odocoileus virginianus texanus
Lineage: Eukaryota; Metazoa; Chordata; Mammalia; Artiodactyla; Cervidae
Source: RefSeq, a predicted model, not a curated record
GGUCUGAAGAAUGCAUACCACGACAACCCCAACAAUGUAGACUGCAGUGUAUUCAUGUUUACAAAUAGACAUACCCACUUGUAGGUGUUUGAGACAGCCACAGAAAAACUGCCCAAAGUCCCUCCCUUGUGAAGCUCACCUUUGAAUCUGGGAGACUGACAAUAAUGAACAGCAUGUGACAGCAUGUGACAUCAGAUGGUGAUAGAUGCUUUCUGGGAAGAUUGACAGAGAGAGCAUGAUGUCAAUAGAGAGCAAAGGGUCAGAAGGACUGUGCGGGAGAGAAAACACUGAGGCCAGUGCGCUUGGCAAGUCAAGGCCUAAAAUCUAAAGAUUCUUCUUCCAGAGUUUUUAGUCACUCACAAAACAGAUGUCAUUUUUGAAAAUGCCGAAUUGCAAAAUACACAAAAAAAUCAGCAUCCUUCAAGAAUACUGUUGUGCUUUCUUCUCAUUUGCUGGUAGGAAACAUGUGUGUCUUGAAUACCAAUUAUCUUUUCAGUUCAGUGUUUCCUUCAGAGAACAAAAACUUUCUGGUACAGCUGCAGAGGACAAAUAAAAUGGCAUCACAGAAGAGCAGCUAGCACCUUGGAA